Exaiptasia diaphana is the source of this 693-nucleotide RNA transcript. RefSeq lists it as uncharacterized. The record is from RefSeq and is a predicted model, not a curated record. The transcript has 3 exons. NCBI's taxonomy places the organism in Eukaryota, Metazoa, Cnidaria, Anthozoa, Actiniaria, Aiptasiidae.
CUUCCACCGCCUCCACCUACAGAUGGACCACCACAUCCGCCUCUUCCACCACCUCCACCUACAGAUGGACCACCAGUUCCGCCUCUUCCACCACCUCCACCUACAGAUGGACCACCACUACCUCCUCUUCCACCACCUCCUCCAACAGAUGUGCCAUCACUACCGCCUCCUACCCCAGACUGCAAAGACAAGGCUUCCAACUGUSUUCAGUUGUUACGGUACUGUAGAUUAUCUUCUGAUUUUGCAUACAAAUGGUGCCAUAGGACGUGCAAGAAAUGUCGAAAGCAUCUAUCAUACUGGAAAUUAAUCGAUACUAUAAAUGAAUGAUUAUAUGACGAAUAAGCAUGUAAAUGAUACAAAUUUUAGUUUAUAUACAUAUGGCUUUUGUGUUCAUUUAUAUUUAUUCCUAUGCUACAUUAAAUYCAAGACACAUAAUGUUAGAAUCUGCUGUGUUAAAUACAAAACAAGUGUGAACUUUAAAUACUGUAAUUUGCUUCUAUGAAAAGUAAGUACUGACGUAAAUCAUGAAAUGUAGAACAUUUAAUGCAGUGCACAAGGGAAUUGUUACUUUUACAAUUUAAAGUAUAUCUUUGAAGUCUUCACGCCUUUUGUUGCCUUUGUUGAAUGAGUACAUUCAGCUAUAUAUACUGUCAUAUAUCACUUGAGCAGAUGCCUACAACAUUGCAUUGUACA